GCCUGGCUGGCUCAGUCGGUGGAGUGCGUGACUCUUGAUCUCGAGUUGUGAGUUCAAACCCCAGGCUGGGUG
RNAcentral lists this transfer RNA (72 nucleotides) under Felis catus (domestic cat). It matches the Rfam family "tRNA". From Rfam's summary of the family: Transfer RNA (tRNA) molecules are approximately 80 nucleotides in length. Their secondary structure includes four short double-helical elements and three loops (D, anti-codon, and T loops). Further hydrogen bonds mediate the characteristic L-shaped molecular structure. tRNAs have two regions of fundamental functional importance: the anti-codon, which is responsible for specific mRNA codon recognition, and the 3' end, to which the tRNAs corresponding amino acid is attached (by aminoacyl-tRNA synthetases). tRNAs cope with the degeneracy of the genetic code in two manners: having more than one tRNA (with a specific anti-codon) for a particular amino acid; and 'wobble' base-pairing, i.e. permitting non-standard base-pairing at the 3rd anti-codon position. Lineage: Eukaryota; Metazoa; Chordata; Mammalia; Carnivora; Felidae. The record is from Rfam by way of RNAcentral.